UUUAAGCAUAUCACUCAGUGGAGGAAGAUCAAGCACCCGCGAUUGCUGCAGUAAAGGCGAUUGAAGUGGCACCAUCCCAAUGGGCACGGCUCAGCCCGAACGAGAUUCCCUUCCUGCACCUGCCUCGGCGGGGACGCAGUCGGCUACUGUGGGUUUCACCAGAUGCUGUGGGCCACGGAACGGGCGGCGGUGCGUGUGGCUGGCCUGUGGCACCAGGAAGCGCCCUGGAAUGGUCCACGACAGAGGGAUACUGUCCCGUACAACCUGAGUGUUGUGCCACGGCCGUCGCUUGCGCUGCUGCCCGGAUCCACGAGUAGAAUGGCUUGGGACUGCAGUUUGAAGUGCGAUGUGUAUCCAUCGCAAGGAGGAAUACCAACAUGGGACCGAUAGCGCACAAGUAGAGUGAUUGAAGGAUGCAAAGGACUUUGCAAAGAGGGUUAAAAGUCCCUGAAGGAGUAGUGCUGUGGCCUUGCCUUGGUGGGUCGGCCCACGACUCCCGCAACCGCACGCACACACCACACACACCGUGUUCCCCCUCCUCCUCCCUUUCGGUGCGGCUCCGGCAUCGCCUCCGGGCGAGAGGGUGCCUCCCGUUUGGGGGUGUGUGUGCGGGGUCCUCCGGUGCUGCUGUUGUUGUUGCGGUGUGGGUUGUGCGCUGUCUGGGCCCCCACCUGGACCGCCGUUUCCCUCUCUCUCUCUCCCUGCUCGCUUGCGUGUUCGGGAGGAGGAGGCGGAGCGGUCGGGACGAGAUCCCAAGCGACCUUGGGCCAGCCCGGUCUCGUACACAGAGCCCACUCCCUCGGCGGGGUGUGGACGUUUCGUGGCGAGUCCCGGUGGCACCCUGCCUGCCAGGGCCUGAGGCUUCGUUGAGAACUCGCAGGGCUGCAGUCCUCACUCAGGAGAUGAUUUUGGAGAAUGGUGGUGGUGUCGCAGUCCCAGUGUGAUGAGUUGUUGGGAAGACAAGGCUCGUUGGAUGGCUGGCCUACCAAAACGGCGGCCCAACCGCCCCUCACCCCGCUUGCUCCGCAGUGGUGUGGUCCGGUGCCCCUCUCGGGGUCGGGCCCCCCCACCUGUGGGAGUCGGUGGGUUUUGGGGUGUGUGGCUGGCGAUGGCCAAAACCGGGCUUGCCCUGUCCUUCCCCCUCGCACCCGCUGUUCUUUCUGCGCGCGCCCCCCUUCGUCCAAGAGGAGACAGACAGAAAGAGGAACUGGAACAAAGUGUGUGCUCUGGACUGGUGCGUCUUCGGGCGUGCCAGUCGCCGUGGCCCGGCCAUGGCUCGGGGUCCGCUGGUGCGUGUGUGGCUGCACCACCCGUUGGUGGCCACGGCGUGCCCUCGCGGACCCCCCGGACGGUGCGCGGUGCAGACGCACGGGGCUUGGUGCUCGCAGGGCUGCCCGCUGCCCGUCUUGAAACACGGACCAAGGAGUCUAUGGAGCUUGCAUGUUCGCUGCUGGACACAUCGUUGGAAAGCGCGAAGGGCAUGGUGAAAGCGACGGGGGGCCCGCCCCCCGAGUCCCCGACGACGGCGGUCCUUCUCCGCCAACCCGCACGGGACACCGGACCCGAAGUCCGUUGGACUGGGUUUUGAGUGCUUGCAAGGUCCAUGGGACCCGAAAGGUGGUGAACUAUACCGUACCACGACGAAGCCGUGGGAAACCGCGGUGGAAGUCGGUCGCUGUUCUGACGUGCAAAUUGUGUAGCCUGAGUGUGGCAUGGGGGUGAAAGGCCAAUCGAACCACCUAGUAGCUGGUUUCCCUCGAAGUUUCCCUCAGGAUAGCUGGGCUCGUCCCUGUGAAUUACAACCCGAGUGGUUACGUCCGGUAAAGCAACGCAUGAGAGGCAAAUCCCGGGGAGGCCUUCCUCCUCGACCUAUCCUCGAACUGUGAAUGGGCGUGGCGAACCCACAGCAAGCAACCUCAGGCACGCUUCUUCACCCAUACGCCCGAGCCAGGUCCCUCAACCGGGCCUGUUCUCAACGGCCUCUGAGCGUGUUCUGUUUGGAUGGAUGGUGUUACGGUGGUGAGACCACCAGAAGGCCACGCACCACACCCAUCGCGGCGUCUCCCCUCCCUGGCCUCGGCUCAGCGCGCUGGGCUCCCCUGCGUGGUCUCGUGCCCUCUCCGGGGGCCUCGGGCACCCUCUGUCUGGACAUCCAAUGAUCCCGGUGUUUCCCUUCCCUGUCUGUGCGGCUGUGGGCGCAACCCCCUUGUGGGGCAGAACUCAGUUCCAAAAUAUCGCCAGCAAACUGUGAUCGGAGAGAAGAGGAGGGGGCCUCUCUCACACACCCAAGCGGGGCCCGGUUUCAUCGCUGGACUCCCCCCUCGCCCCCCGCGCGUGGGCCGAGGUGGGCGGCCGCAUCCGGUCCGACCCCAGUGGAGAUGCGGCUGCUGCGCGCCGGCCCGUGUGGGUCAGGCGACUGCGAUCAAAAGGGACAGCAAUGUGCGCGAUGUUGGGAGGCCCGGUGGUGCCCCCUCCAGUGUCGAGUGACGGUGGGGGAAAGGCAGCGCCCCCUCUAGACCGGAGAGGUCACUGUGGCCGAUCACCAGUGUUAAACGCGGUCGCUGGCUGGAGCUUCGGAAUUUCCCCUGUGCCCGUGUGGAUGGCAUGGCACUCACAACCGGUGGCCCUUUCUGCUCCCAUUGGAUGCGGGCGUGAGCGCCCCUCGCGGGCUUGGCUGCCCGCAGAAGCGGGGGAGAAGGGGGAUCCACGGCGGUGGUGCCAGUCCGUCUCUCGGGACCCGCAAAGACUCCCCUUGGCUGACGCCUGGUGCUCGGUCGCUCUCCGACAGGAUGUGUCCCCAGAAGAAGCAUGGCAUUGGAAGGCAAGGCAGCGCCCAAUGGAAUGUGGGUGAGCAUCCCCCUGUCGACCACUGGCGGUACCGAUGGGGAUCCCGCGCGCAGGGUGCGCCGCAGCGGCAUCGUCCACGGUGGGGCGUGAUCUGAGUGGCGGUCUGUCCCGGCACAUACACAGGCGAGGGGUCGUUUUUGGGUGCCCCCUUCGCUGUGCGAUGGCUCUGAGUUCUCGGCUGCAGCAGCAAGGCAUGGCGCAGAGGAUCGGAAACCAGGGUGACUUUGUUGAGCGGGAGCGGUGGUCCGGACCCUGGAGAGCGCGAGGGGCGCAGGGCGCGUGGCGUGCGCCGGAAAGUGGCAAAGGAGAAGACAAUGGCCGAACGGGGUCUCACGCCCAGCGACAAGGGAGUGUCUGUGUGCGCCUUUUUCUGGCUGGAUGCACGCAACCUGCCAUCUCUCGGGAACAAGUGUGCCUAUGUGGACCAGGAUUGGUAAGCAGUGCUGGUGAUGCGGGAUGCUCCGAGAGUGGACUUACAGUUCUGGAGUGCUGGCUCAUACACAGAUCCCACAAAGGAUGUUGCCUGCUCUGGAUAGCAGGACGGUGGCCAUGAAGGUUGGAACCCGCUGAGGAAUGUGUAACAACUCACCUGCCGAAGUGCGCAGCUCCGAAAAUGGAUGGUGCCCAAGUCAGUGAAGCUGAAUUUGCCUUACAGUCCGCCACCGCUGUGGCAGCAGAGCAGAGCAUCGUUGUGUAGAGAGGACAUGGGAGAUCACUGUGCCUGUCGGGGCCGCCCCCGACUGGAGUGUCUUCUGGCGCAGAUCUUGGUUGCAGUAGCGAGUACUCCAUCGAAGAAAGGGUGGAAACACCCCGCUGUGUGUGCUUGAGGACUGGAGUGGAGCAGGUUUCCGCACCAACAGCCGUUGAAUGCGGGUCAGCCGGCCGUGAGCCAAGUGGCAAUUCAUCCUCGCGAUCAAGGCUGCCUUGGGUGCCGUGGGUGCGCAGGCCGCGGAGAUUGUCUGUGGGGAGGACAAGACGAAAGGGACAGCAGGGGAGGCCCCAGGGGGUUGCGACCCCCACAACAGCAGGCCGCGACUCGGGUGGCGCGGGCCAGAAAAGGGGUCUGGUCUUACCCUCUUCCCUUCCUCCCACCCCCUCUCUCUCCGGGGGCGCGCGCCCAGACGCUCUCUGGCAGGAGUGGCAAACAGUCAAGCGUGUGCAACAUUCUGCUGCAACGGGCACGGGAGGCCCUCUGACAAACAGAGUAGUGAUGGUGGCGACGCCUCGGGAACGGGGCAAGCAGGCUUCAGGGGCGGUGCACCCCUCGAAGAGUUCUCGUUUCCUCCUGAUGCAGACUCAUGUGGGCUAUGAAUUGGCAUUGCAAAUGGUGAUGUAACGCUCUCCGCUCAGCAAGACAGCGCUCUCUUUGCGCUGGUGGUAUUUCUCUGUGGACGAUAUCUCAGCAACAAAAAAGCAAACACUUCUCGUCCCUCUCAACUACGGCGGUCACUGGCUCCACUGAACCGCCUGUGGCGACAUUCGUUGUUCCUGGUCCCUUGCUCUCGUACUGAAUCACCGCAGCCGGUCUCCUCGGCUAUACGCCGCUGGUGCCACGGAUUGAAUGCAGCUAAGGGAAGUCGGCAAACUGGCCAUGUACCUUCGGAAGAUGUGGUGGCUCCAGAGGCCAAGUCAGUGGGUCCCGCCACGGGCGGUGCCCUGUGUGCGGUAAUUCCAACGUUGAGAAUGUGCUUCUUGUGUGUGCUUGGUGUGCGAGUGCUCGCAGUUCGGGGUGCCGUUUGCGAGGGCCUUCGCGGCUUCUCUCUCCCAGUGGUGGGGGGCCGGGUGCGUCUCCGGGCGUGCUCGCGCCCAUCCCAGUGUCUAUGCAGUGGCCCAGAUGGAACUGAUGCUGUGCUGGGGAAUCUGACUGUUUAAUUGAAACCCAGCUUUGUGACGGGUCCAGCUUGCUGGUCCCAUGAGGUGACUUCUGCCCAGUGCUCUGAUUGUCACGCCGAAGACAUUCCGCCAAGCGCGGGUAAACGGCGGGAGUAACUAUGACUCUCUUAAGGUAGCCAAAUGCCUCGUCAACCAAUUAUUGACGCGCAUGAAUGGAUCAACGAGAUUCCUGCUGUCCCUAGUUGCUGUCCGGUGAACCAACAGCCAAGGGAACGGGCUUGGGCGUGUCAGCGGGGAAAGAAGA
This 4984-nucleotide ribosomal RNA is filed under the name Lepocinclis cyclidiopsis (nom. illeg.). RNAcentral's name for it is "Cyclidiopsis acus partial 28S large subunit ribosomal RNA". It matches the Rfam family "Eukaryotic large subunit ribosomal RNA". Lineage: Eukaryota; Euglenozoa; Euglenophyceae; Euglenales; Phacaceae. The record is from RNAcentral.